GAGUUCACCAUUUUGCUGCAUCGCUGC
RNAcentral lists this small RNA (27 nucleotides) under Bombyx mori (domestic silkworm). Its description in RNAcentral is "ovarian small RNA-16038". Lineage: Eukaryota; Metazoa; Arthropoda; Insecta; Lepidoptera; Bombycidae. The record is from RNAcentral.